CCUACUGGCAGCCCUUUCUCCUUCACUGACACGGGCAGGAGGCAGUCCCAGAUGCAUAUCUUCAGUGACCUGCAGUGAGGACUGAGAGUGCUGAAGAUGAUGGGAAGAAGAGCUAGUAGCAGCAGACACCACAGCAGUUCCUGGACCACCUAGGCACCAAAUUGCUGCACACACUUGCCCAGAGGCUUGAGAGCAGGAAGCUCUGGAGAAAUUAUGUGAGCAGUGUCUCCUGUGGCACACCUCUGGUCUCCCAUGGGAUAGGUAUAAUUAGGGUGCACAGACAGACGUGUUCAGAGACAGAUUCAUCCCAGCCCAGAAUGGAGGCCUCAGAGGGCAAAGACGCAGAUGGAACCUGGAUGUGGAAGUCUGGAAUAAAUCCCAACCCAAAGGUUAUGCCAAGGGUCUGGGACUGAGCAAGCAGAUUGGUGUUAUUCAUAUUGACUACAGAGAAGGUAAAAGGGAUUAACAGGGAAAAGAUUAAGAGCCUUCAUUUAUCUAUAUCAGAUUUAAGGUAACAUCUGGAAAUUGGUAGAAAGAUCUGAAAGAGACAGUAAUUAAACUCAGUAGCGAAGAAUGUUUCAAGGUAUCUAGCUGGAGUGUGACCUUAAUACUCUGGCACUAUUUUUCAAAUAUAUAUAUAUAUAUUUCAUAUGAGAAGUAUUUGGGGAUAUUGUAAUAAUUAUCAUCACCAUCCAAAGUGCAACUACUACAAAUCACUUCUCUCUGCCAGUUCCUUUCUAUUGAUGUCCCAUGCACAGCCAUUUUUAAGACCUGGAAAAUAAGUUCAUGUGGCUUUCAUGAAAAAAAUGUUUUGGUUCUCUGCUAGGCAACAAUAUAUAUAGUUUCUCUUAAUGUUUUUACUUAAUCACUUCAACUGGCAAAUCUCCUGUGUCCUACCACUGAAACUGUGUCAUUAAUCUGGAAAAGGUCAACCACAAAGUAAAAAUUUAAACUGAGUUAAACACAGUUCAGUUAUAUCAUUCUAUAAAAACUGGGAGGCACAUUCAGAACAUUCAGCCAUCUAACCCUUGUUUUAUCUUACCUCCUUCCAAAAUCCUUUCUUUCCAAAAAAUCCUCAUGGAUGGGUGUGUCCCAGAGUACUUCUUUAACAGUUUCUGAGUUUAAUGCACCUUUAAUCUAUUUGUGUGUCUUUCAG
This 1156-nucleotide long non-coding RNA is filed under the name Anas platyrhynchos platyrhynchos (common mallard). RNAcentral's name for it is "lncRNA (ENSAPLG00000017087.1)". Lineage: Eukaryota; Metazoa; Chordata; Aves; Anseriformes; Anatidae. The record is from RNAcentral.